ACUGCUCAGUAACACGUGGCUAAUCUGCCCUUGGGACCGGAACACCCCCGGGAAACUGGGGCUAAUUCUCGAUAGGUGAAGAACUCUGGAAUGAGUCUUUGCCGAAAAGUUGUCAGGGUUAUGCUCUCUGAUAACGCCCAAGGAUGAGGCCGCGACCGAUCAGGUUGUUGGUGAGGUAAUGGCUCACCAAGCCUUUUACCGGUGCGGGCCGUGAGAGCGGGAGCCCGGAGAUGGGCACUGAGACAAGGGCCCAGGCCCUACGGGGCGCAGCAGUCGCGAAAACUUUGCAAUACACGAAAGUGUGACAGGGCUAUCCCGAGUGCCAUCCGCUGAGGAAGGCUUUUACCCAGUCUAGAACGCUGGGGGAAUAAGGAGAGGGCAAGUCUGGUGUCAGCCGCCGCGGUAAUACCAGCUCUCCGAGUGGUGUGGAUGUUUAUUGGGCCUAAAGCAUCCGUAGCUGGCUAAGUUAGUCCCUUGUUAAAUCCACCGAAUUAAUCGUUGGAUUGCGGGGGAUACUGCUUGGCUAGGGGACGAGAGAGGCAGACGGUAUUUCCGGGGUAGGGGUGAAAUCCUAUAAUCCCGGGAAGACCACCAGUGGCGAAGGCUGUCUGCUAGAACGCGCCCGACGGUGAGGGAUGAAAGCUGGGGGAGCGAACCGGAUUAGAUACCCGGGUAGUCCCAGCUGUAAACGAUGCAGGCUAGGUGUUUGGACGGCCACGUGCCGUUCUAGUGCCGCAGGGAAGCUGUUAAGCCUGCCGCCUGGGAGUACGAUCGCAAGAUUGAAACUUAAAGGAAUUGGCGGGGGAGCA
This 809-nucleotide ribosomal RNA is filed under the name uncultured archaeon. Its description in RNAcentral is "bacterial SSU rRNA". It matches the Rfam family "Archaeal small subunit ribosomal RNA", at positions 85 to 878 of the family's 1478-position model. The record is from RNAcentral.